This is a long non-coding RNA of Sinocyclocheilus grahami, 856 nucleotides long. RefSeq lists it as uncharacterized. The transcript is spliced from 2 exons. The record is from RefSeq and is a predicted model, not a curated record. NCBI's taxonomy places the organism in Eukaryota, Metazoa, Chordata, Actinopteri, Cypriniformes, Cyprinidae.
CAGCCGGAGGUGGCCGUUUCAUAAUAGUCAAUGCUGGAAAAACCUUGAAAUGUAGUGUGAAGUCUAUAUGUUUUUGUUAAAUGUAAUUGUUUAUAUGUUAUUUAAUUUUUUUCACAGUUUUGUGUUGCAGAAGAUUGGCAGAAAUGUGAUUUGAGAUGCCUCGGAUGAAGCAGUCUCAGCGCUCCCAGGCAGCCAAGAAGAGGAUGGCGGACCAGAUGGCUGCUGAUCCUGAAGAGGUUUUGCCACCUCUUAAAAAAAACUGGCAGAAAUAUCUGAACGUUGUGUGCAUCACAACGUGCUUGAAAUACCUGAUCAUGACAAUUUUCUGAAAGAACCUGAUCUUGACAUUUUUCGCAAAGAACCUGCUCUUGACAAUUUCCCUGAAAAUGAUCUUGAAAAGCCUUUGACAAUCCUUGACAUACCUUUGACAACCCUUAAGAAACACUUUGAAGAACAACAAAAAAAAACAUUCUCUAAAACGCUACCUGAUUCUUCCUCUCUGCCUCACUCUACUGGAGAUAGAAACAUGACUGUGAAUGCUGUUUCUGCUCUAUGUCCACAGACUUCCUACAUCAGAGGCUCUUUCCAUCAAGGAGAUUACCGUUUUGGCUGGAAUAGUGGAAAGCAAUGUGGUGCAAAUAGUUUAACUUCAAUUGUGAUGUGUACGAUGAAAAGUGUGUUGCAGUGGACGAGAAGUGAACGGAAUGCUGUUCUGAUCCAUGGAAAUGAUCAGUACAGUGCCAUGAGAGACGCAGGAAAAAUCCACGAUCGUAAAUCAGGCUUCAUACGUGUUGAUGAGCUGCCAGACACACACAUGCUGAACAAUUGUAAAUUUUCAAUAAACUAUGGUGAAUCA